RNAcentral lists this ribosomal RNA (1372 nucleotides) under uncultured bacterium. RNAcentral's name for it is "bacterial SSU rRNA". It matches the Rfam family "Bacterial small subunit ribosomal RNA", at positions 28 to 1381 of the family's 1533-position model. The record is from RNAcentral.
GAUGAACGCUGGCGGUGUGCCUAAUACAUGCAAGUCGAGCGAACGGACGAGAAGCUUGCUUCUCUGAUGUUAGCGGCGGACGGGUGAGUAACACGUGGAUAACCUACCUAUAAGACUGGGAUAACUUCGGGAAACCGGAGCUAAUACCGGAUAAUAUUUUGAACCGCAUGGUUCAAAAGUGAAAGACGGUCUUGCUGUCACUUAUAGAUGGAUCCGCGCUGCAUUAGCUAGUUGGUAAGGUAACGGCUUACCAAGGCAACGAUGCAUAGCCGACCUGAGAGGGUGAUCGGCCACACUGGAACUGAGACACGGUCCAGACUCCUACGGGAGGCAGCAGUAGGGAAUCUUCCGCAAUGGGCGAAAGCCUGACGGAGCAACGCCGCGUGAGUGAUGAAGGUCUUCGGAUCGUAAAACUCUGUUAUUAGGGAAGAACAUAUGUGUAAGUAACUGUGCACAACUUGACGGUACCUAAUCAGAAAGCCACGGCUAACUACGUGCCAGCAGCCGCGGUAAUACGUAGGUGGCAAGCGUUAUCCGGAAUUAUUGGGCGUAAAGCGCGCGUAGGCGGUUUUUUAAGUCUGAUGUGAAAGCCCACGGCUCAACCGUGGAGGGUCAUUGGAAACUGGAAAACUUGAGUGCAGAAGAGGAAAGUGGAAUUCCAUGUGUAGCGGUGAAAUGCGCAGAGAUAUGGAGGAACACCAGUGGCGAAGGCGACUUUCUGGUCUGUAACUGACGCUGAUGUGCGAAAGCGUGGGGAUCAAACAGGAUUAGAUACCCUGGUAGUCCACGCCGUAAACGAUGAGUGCUAAGUGUUAGGGGGUUUCCGCCCCUUAGUGCUGCAGCUAACGCAUUAAGCACUCCGCCUGGGGAGUACGACCGCAAGGUUGAAACUCAAAGGAAUUGACGGGGACCCGCACAAGCGGUGGAGCAUGUGGUUUAAUUCGAAGCAACGCGAAGAACCUUACCAAAUCUUGACAUCCUUUGACAACUCUAGAGAUAGAGCUUUCCCCUUCGGGGGACAAAGUGACAGGUGGUGCAUGGUUGUCGUCAGCUCGUGUCGUGAGAUGUUGGGUUAAGUCCCGCAACGAGCGCAACCCUUAAGCUUAGUUGCCAUCAUUAAGUUGGGCACUCUAAGUUGACUGCCGGUGACAAACCGGAGGAAGGUGGGGAUGACGUCAAAUCAUCAUGCCCCUUAUGAUUUGGGCUACACACGUGCUACAAUGGACAAUACAAAGGGCAGCGAAACCGUGAGGUCAAGCAAAUCCCAUAAAGUUGUUCUCAGUUCGGAUUGUAGUCUGCAACUCGACUACAUGAAGCUGGAAUCGCUAGUAAUCGUAGAUCAGCAUGCUACGGUGAAUACGUUCCCGGGUCU